UACGUAGGUGGCAAGCGUUGUUCGGAAUUACUGGGCGUAAAGGGCUCGUAGGUGGCCAACUAAGUCAGACGUGAAAUCCCUCGGCUUAACCGGGGAACUGCGUCUGAUACUGGAUGGCUUGAGUUCGGGAGAGGGAUGCGGAAUUCCAGGUGUAGCGGUGAAAUGCGUAGAUAUCUGGAGGAACACCGGUGGCGAAGGCGGCAUCCUGGACCAAUAUUGACGCUGAGGAGCGAAAGCCAGGGGAGCAAACGGG
RNAcentral lists this ribosomal RNA (253 nucleotides) under uncultured bacterium. RNAcentral describes it as "partial 16S ribosomal RNA". It matches the Rfam family "Bacterial small subunit ribosomal RNA", at positions 524 to 776 of the family's 1533-position model. The record is from RNAcentral.